RNAcentral lists this unclassified non-coding RNA (536 nucleotides) under Hevea brasiliensis (rubber tree). The record is from RNAcentral. Lineage: Eukaryota; Viridiplantae; Streptophyta; Magnoliopsida; Malpighiales; Euphorbiaceae.
AGAUCUCUCUGGUGUUCACAUUGUGACGGGGGCUCAGCUUGGUGUUUGGAAUUUUGGUGCCAAAAGUGUCUUGCAUCUUAAACUCCUCUUUUCCAAAGUACCUGGCUGCACAAUAAGAAGAUCGGUAUGGGAUCACAGUCCAUCAAACCUAUCAGCAGUACAAAGGAUUGAUGGUUCUUCAACUUCACUUCAGAAUGAAAACAAGAAAGGCGAUACUUCCAGCCAAACAGGGAAAUUGGCAAAAAUUGUAGACAUGACAGAAAUGUCAAAGGGGCCACAGGAUGCACCAGGACACUGGUUGGUAACAGGAGCUAAACUUGGAGUUGAUAAAGGAAAAAUUGUGCUAAGAGUGAAGUAUUCCCUGCUGAAUUAUUAAUAAGUUGUGUUGUCUGUGAGAUUAAAGCAUUCUUUGGAUAGUUUAGAUAUCAUGUUAUUCUUCUGUAAAUUAUGUUUAGCAUUGAUCAUUCAUUUUUGUUAUUGCUAUUUUAUAGCCACCAGAUCAGUGUACUACUCCGGGUGCAUACAGUGAAAAAUUU